UACGAAGGGGGCUAGCGUUGCUCGGAAUUACUGGGCGUAAAGCGCGCGCAGGCGGUUCUUCAAGUCAGAGGUGAAAGCCCAGGGCUCAACCCUGGAAUGGCCUUUGAGACUAGAGAACUAGGGUACGGGAGAGGUGAGUGGAAUUCCGAGUGUAGAGGUGAAAUUCGUAGAUAUUCGGAAGAACACCAGUGGCGAAGGCGGCUCACUGGCCCGUUACCGACGCUCAGGCGCGACAGCGUGGGGAGCAAACAGG
RNAcentral lists this ribosomal RNA (253 nucleotides) under uncultured bacterium. RNAcentral describes it as "partial 16S ribosomal RNA". It matches the Rfam family "Bacterial small subunit ribosomal RNA", at positions 524 to 776 of the family's 1533-position model. The record is from RNAcentral.